This 100-nucleotide unclassified non-coding RNA is filed under the name Chryseobacterium taeanense. Its description in RNAcentral is "Flavo-1 RNA". The record is from RNAcentral. Lineage: Bacteria; Pseudomonadati; Bacteroidota; Flavobacteriia; Flavobacteriales; Weeksellaceae.
UCCUAGCCCCGAUUGAGCGGUAUGUUUGAGCUCUUUUCUGUUUUCGGCGGGCGAAGCCCGCCGAAAACAGAAAAAGCGAGUAGCGAAAGCGGGAAAUAGC